Molecule: RNA transcript, 1134 nt
Organism: Acinonyx jubatus (cheetah)
Lineage: Eukaryota; Metazoa; Chordata; Mammalia; Carnivora; Felidae
Exons: 3
Source: RefSeq, a predicted model, not a curated record
GCGAUCGCUGCGCGGCCGGCUGGCACUCGCGUCGCCGCCUCGGGCAGCUGGCCAGCCUCGGGCCACGAGGCCCCUCCUCCUGGAGGACACUGAAGCGUAAGACGCAGCAGCAGCAGCAGCAGCAGACCUGGCGUCCUGGUGCCUCCUGGCCCCUCAGCAUCAGUGAUUCACACCAGCCUGGAAAAAGAUCGGCUGGGCUCGAUGACUCACUCACGGCGGGCGGAGGGUCCCACAGGGCCCGAGUCCUCACACUCAGCUGAGGAGCCGGGAGACUGACGACAGGUCCCAAGGCUCCCACAGAGUCUUUGCUGCUUGCCUGGCACUUCCCCUCCCCUCUCCUCCUGCAAGCUGCCUGCACACGAGGAGACGUUGAGGUCGGCGAGAGGGGCUGCAGAGAGAGGACAGGCCCGGCGGAGAGCUGGAGGUGAAGACGGGCCAGCGUGAGGGCCAGGGCCUGCCGCCAGGCCUGCCCCGCUGGCCACCAGCCCUCCCGCCCCCAGGUCCGCUGUGGCUGGAGUCGGGGUCGGCCACCUUCGGCCCUGCCUCGCUCCGGCCCAGGAACCCCCCGGCCACGGCACGGCGGCCGUCCUCUCCUACCAGAGCUUUCCGGGAGCUCUGACGCCGAGGCCACAGCCCCUGCUCCCGCCCGCAGCCCCAGGCCCGCAGCCUCAGCAGUGCCCCGAAGCCUUUGCCCCUGGGGCUUAAGCGGGCUCUCUGCCAGGCCCCGCCAUUGCCAGGGUCCGGACCCCCACCUCUCCAAACACCAGCACCCCGGUGCAGACUGGCCACUCAGGUCUGUAGCCCCAGCAGGCCCUGGCUGGGGGUCCUCCUUUCCACCUGUCCAGUGGGGGUUCCCAGGUUCAGAAGACUGGUGUCUGCAGAAGAUUCUGUCAACCCCGACAUCAUGCACUCCUGCCAGCACCCCCAGAUUUUAUUUUUGCACAUAAGCCAUAACCCACACUCACAAGCUGGCAGGGGCUGCAGGGAGGCCCCAGGGUCCUCAAGAGGGUGUGGCCAGCCCUCCCUGUCCCCAGUGGAUCAGGCCUUGAUGUCAGGCCAAGCUGUGUGCAGCCCCCUGUCACCUUCCCUGAAGACAGACUUUUUAAGUUUUUGUUAAUAAAACACUGAAACUUC